RNAcentral lists this long non-coding RNA (212 nucleotides) under Homo sapiens (human). RNAcentral's name for it is "HSALNT0300853". The record is from RNAcentral. Lineage: Eukaryota; Metazoa; Chordata; Mammalia; Primates; Hominidae.
CCAGCUCGCCCUAUUAGCAUACCAUGUGCCCAGGAGUAAACAGUUCUAGGUCCUAUGCCAAACAUUGGGAAUAACAAGAUCAAAGAAGCACAGUUCCUGCCCUUGAAGAACUUAGUAGCAAUGGUGAUGAGGAUGCUCAGGAAUUGUGCAAUGGUACAAGUGAUGCAUGAGCACUGAAGAGGGAGCAGAGAAUGUCCCUAACAGUAAUAGCG